Long non-coding RNA from Sapajus apella (tufted capuchin), 3130 nucleotides. RefSeq lists it as uncharacterized. The record is from RefSeq and is a predicted model, not a curated record. The transcript has 2 exons. NCBI's taxonomy places the organism in Eukaryota, Metazoa, Chordata, Mammalia, Primates, Cebidae.
GUCUUCUCACCUGGGGCCGGUUUUUUGGGGGGCUGUGAGGACGGGGCCUGCCACUCCCCUGGGCCUGGAUCCCGGCCUCUGCCCCGAAUGCUGGGGUCCUCAGUAGAGACGGCAGCGGCCAGAAGCAAGACGAGCUUUUCUGAGGCGACUCCCCUCCCCGCUCGUAGCCCCAGUUUCGGGGAGGGAGGGAUCUGUAAGGGGGAGGGGUGGAGGGAGAGUUUAGUCUCCCGGUAAGGAACGAUUCUGAGUUUAAUUUCGGAUUAUUGGUUUAGCUAGGCCGCGGGGGGUCGGAUGGAGUGGGCACAGGUAUGGGAAGUGUGACUCAGCUCAGGACUGUGAGGCUACUUGUUCAGGACAGUUGUGGCGUGCUUUUGCCUGGGAUUUCUUCGGGUGAUCGGCAUUGUGAUCUUUUGCCAUUCACUUUAUAUCUUAAGUGGAUUUAUAUUCCUAAGAAAGGAGAGAGUCGGGCUUGUUUCUGCCUACUGACCGCUUCUUGCCAGUACUUUAUGUCUAGAUGAAGUUUUAUGUUGAUAAGGUAUAGGGCAGGUGCCCUCAAAAUUUAUCCAUUUUAUUAGCCUGUGCCUUAUAUUUUGUUUUAAAGACCUAUUUUCCAGUGAUUUGUUUACCUAUUUCCUUAACCUUUUUCAAGAAUAAGUUCUUGUUUCUGUCAGUGGCUGUGUGAGAGCUAGAAUAAUAUUAAAAACACUUAUGCAUAAAUACAUUUGUUUAAGCAGGCAGGAAGGUGCAUGAUGGGGCCAAUUGGGUAUAGUUGAAAGAUGAACAGAACUUGACAAAGAAGAUAUCUUAGUAUAAUUUUUGAUACUAAGAAAGCAUUAGUAAGUAAUUUACAUUUCGAUUCUGUGAAUAGGAUCUGUUCCUGAUGUUCAUGUUUUAGCCCUUUGCAAGGAGAAAAAAGGAAACCAUGAGCUCGGUAACCUUUUUAAGGAAAAGCAGUUUUUCCUCUUGCUAUAAAGUGGAGAUGACAUGUUAAAGAAGAUUUACCACUGAUUGUGUAUGUGUCUCUAAUGCAUUGUUUUCACACGCUGAAAUAUUGGACAAAAUUAAAGUAUCUAAAGUUUAGGUAUUGGAGUUAGAGCUCCUGAAAAAAUUGUUUAGGUAGUGGAGAAGAGAUAUUCUGAUAAACUAAGGAAGAAGCUGAGAGAAUUGACAAGUAGCUGACGUUGAUUUGUCAGUUUUUCAACUUAAAAAAAGAUCCUGCCUUUUUUCAAUAAGUGUUCUCAUUGUGCUUUCAUUUAUUCGUAGCAUUGUAAAAACUUUUUUCACUUUUCAAAUAUAAAAUUAUUAUAAAGUUAAGUAUACUUCUUUAAAGCUGUUUUCUCCCAAUUCAAAUAGUCCUAAAGGAAGGGACCACUUUGCCUUGCUCAAAUCCCUUGAGCAGUCAUGGAGUUCCUCAUCUAGAAAAGGUAACAAGUAUGAAAAACAAGACAAUUCUGGAGAAACAAAUGAAAAGAUUAUGAAAGGCCAUUGUCUUAGGUGAAUUUGGUGAAAGAAGGCACUUGACGUUAAAUACACUGUGUUUCGUGUUUUUAAAAUGCACAUUUUCACAGUUUAACAUCUUUAAAAUCAGCAUGGCAAUUUCUUUUAUAGCAUAUGAAAUAAUGAUGAAUUCUAGAUGUAAUCUUAAAUUUGAUGAAAUGCAGUAUUUAUAAAUCUUUUUAGUUUAUCCUCCAUACAAAGUUCUGUGAGGAAAACUCUUAAAAUAUUUGUGAAAUUUACCUAUUUAAAAACAUAAAAUGACUCGAGGUAAAAUUAAUUAGCAAAUCACAAUGUAGUUGAAGUAGAACAAAACACAGUUUGACCAAAAUGAGCUAGAAGAGCACUAAGUCUUUGCUGGUUGAUUGAAUGCAUUAAUGAACAGGUAACAAAAUUAAAAACUAACUGUGAAUACUUUAUUGUGUGAAAAAGGAAACUGAAAAUAGAGUUACUUAAUAUCUAGAAAAUAACAUCAUAAUAUUAUAUAUGGAAUGUAACCAAAGCUGAAUAUAUUAGAAAAUCAAUAUCCUGAAUAACUGAGAGAUAAUAGAAAUAUUCUAUUUAAGAAUAUUAAAAAGGAAACAUGAAAUAAACCUAAAGAAACAGAAAGAAGGACUUAAAAUAGAUAACACUGAUGCUAACCUAUUAAAAGGAAAAAAAAAUUUUUUUUGAGACGGAGUUUCACUGUGUCCCCCAGGCUGGAGUGCAGUGGUGCAGUCUCAUCAUCUCACUGCAACCUCCACCUCCCAGGUUUUAGCGAUUCUCCUGCCUCAGCCUCCUGAGUAGCUGGGACUACAGGCUCCUGCCACCACCCCCAGCUAAUUUUUUUUAUUUUUAGUAGAGAAAAGUAAAUAAACCCAGGGGUACUUCUGGGUUAUCUUCAGGACUUUAAAUUUGAAAGUCACAGCAAGUUAAGAAUAUUACCCAAGAUCUAUGCCUUAUUUCAUGGGUAAAUACUUUCCAUCUUUCAGGAGCCUCUCCUUUUGAAAGUGUUCCAUUUCAUACAGAAAGAAGAAAGGCUUUCUAAUCCUCUUUAUGAAGCCAUGAAAACACUUAGAGAAAAAUCUAGCAAAGGGAACACUAAAAACAGUUUCACUUUUUAAUAUUGAUGUCAACAUUGUACAUGAAUUAUUACCAAAUGCAGUCUAAUGUUACAUUGAAAUUAUAAAACAUGACAGUGGAUUUUAUUAUAGAAAUAUAGUCAGUAUUAAGAAAUCUAUUAAACAGUGAAGGCAUUAAAAAACUAAUAGUGUUCAACAUUUAUCCUUGACUAAAGCUCUUACUAAAACAGAAAUAGGAUGCUUCCUUAACUUGAAAAACAUGUGAAAGCAUCAGCAGUGGUGAAACAUUGGGAUAAUUAGGGUGCCUGUUUAAGAUUUUUCCAAUAUACUAGUCAAUACAAUUGAUACAAAUGAGAUAUAGAAAGAAUGACAAAAUUAUCAGUAUGUGGAAAUAAAAUUUAUGAGAAAACUCAGUUAAUUGAAAAGUUAUUCAAAAUAAUAAAUGUUUAAUAAGGUGACCAGUUACAAAAUGCAAAAAUAAAAGCUUUUUAAAAAUGAAUGAUAGGUCCUGGUCUAUCAACGAUUGGGACUUGGUUAAAAAAAAAAAAAAAAGAAUGAUAGGAAAGUAUAAUUUA